Long non-coding RNA from Canis lupus familiaris (dog), 2002 nucleotides. RefSeq lists it as uncharacterized. The transcript has 3 exons. Lineage: Eukaryota; Metazoa; Chordata; Mammalia; Carnivora; Canidae. The record is from RefSeq and is a predicted model, not a curated record.
GAGCCUGCUUCGCCCUCGGCCUGUGGCUCUGCCUCUGUGUGUGUGUGUGUGUGUGUGUGUGUACACUCUCAUGCGUGGGCAAAUAAAAUCUUAAAAAAAAUAAAAAUAAAAAAUGCGACUAACUGGAACGAGGACCUUUCUCGUAGCCAAAGUUAAUGUCCAGUCUUACCAUCCUUUUUUGCACAAAUGCAAUCCUAUUACACUUGACUUUUUGUACAUGGUUAUGUUAAUGGGAUUUUGAGAAAAUGUUUCCAAUAAAUACUCAACAAAAUUGUGCAACUUUUUUAUCCUGCCUGCCCUGAGGCGCUGGUUCCAGCCCCAGAAGACGGCGGUCCGGGUUUGAAAAAAGCAAAAAUACCGCCCCGGUGACUCCGGGCUGAAACCCAGUGGCUUUCCCCAGACUUGCCCAGCCCCUCCCUGGACCUACAGGAACCGAGGGGAUUUCUCCAGCGAUUUCCACCGGGCGGGCACGUUUGGGAAAGCCGGGCUGCGCUGAACAAUGCUAGCAGCUCAAGAGUCAUUUAGUUAAGUAAAAAAAAAUUUUUUUUUUUUAAGAUUUUACUUAUUCAUGAAAGACACACAGAGAAAGAGAGGCAGAGACACAGGCAAAGGAAGAAGCCGACUUCCUGCUAGGAGCCUGAUGUGGGACUCGAUCCCGAUUCCUGGGAUCACGCCCCAAAGCCGGAGGCAGAGGCUCAACCGCAGAGCCACCCCGACGUCCCUAGUUCAGUAAAUUCCAAACCAAAACUGAAGGAGGAGAAACGGCUGGAUCACCAGUGUGCCAAUCAUGAGGGCUUCUUCAGUUUACUGCUAGAUUACCCACUAGAAAGGUCCUGCCAAGACCAUUUAUUUUUGUCUUAAGCAGAGCCCAACAAUGGACUUGAACUCAGGAACUCGAGAUCAAGACUUGAGCAGGCAUCGAGAGUUGGGUGCCCAACUGACUGAGCCACCCAGGUGGCCCCAAAACCUUUCUAACAGCAGCGAGAGUGAGCCUUGCAGUUGGUCAGACAAAAGUGGUGCAGCAAGAGGGCAUCUGGCUGCUGGAAAUUGGAUUCUAUGACGCUGGCUUAGAGACUUCUCAGGACACUUGCUGCUUCCUUGCUGAGCCGCAGGAGUGUCUCGCCUUUCCCAAACUGAAAGGAAUGCCACAUGUCCCUUCCACUUUGUUCUGCCUCGGGAGACGUGGCUAGCUCCCUUCCAGGUUGUGGACAGCUGCUUCAAUCCACUUUCCACAUGGAACUCCAGGAAACACGAGGCAAAACAGUCUAAGUCUCCCCGUGGUGCGGCCUCAUAGCUCUUGUGGUUAGUUUUUCUUAGCCCUUUUGUGUGGUUCUUUCAGAAAAAGACAGAGAGAGGCAAAACAGAAAGAGGCAGCUUCAGUGGGAACUUUCAGUUUUCUGCCCAUGAGCUGAAUAGUCACCUCCUGUGAAUACAGUAGCAUCAGAAAGCUCUUUCCAUUUUUUGAUUCUCCCUCAAAGCCCUUUCAUAUUCUGCCUGUGGUCAGACAUUUUUUGAGGUUUCUUCUCAAUUCAGGGCAUUCAAACCACUUGACCAACAAUGUCAGAAAAGCAGGAAGCCAGGUAGGUAAGUGCUAGCUUCAGAGUCAAGUUCAAGCCCUGCUGCUGUGGAGCAGCUCACAGACACCUGCCAAGCCCAUUUGUGUGCCUGCUGCCCAGCUGGGGCUACACUGUGAGUGAGACCAGGUCCCUGCCCUUGAGGAGCUUUUAGGCUAGAUGAGGCGAAGCUUAGUCUUUCCUCUGCUUUGUACCUUUGGGCAAGUUGUUGACUGCUUUGAGCCUCAGUUUCCCCUUCUGGGUAACAAGAAAAAUCCACAGGGAAGGAAGCUGUUCUCUGGGUCUCCCCCUGAGUCCUCUUACCUAUCCUGAGAAAGAAGAGAAAAAAGUUCAGUUCAUUUGUUUUUUAACAAAAAGAUUGUAUUCAUUUGUUGAGAGACAGAGAGAGAGUGAGCCAGCAUGUGCAGGCGGGAGGAGGGGUAGAGGGA